This 253-nucleotide ribosomal RNA is filed under the name uncultured bacterium. RNAcentral's name for it is "partial 16S ribosomal RNA". It matches the Rfam family "Bacterial small subunit ribosomal RNA", at positions 524 to 776 of the family's 1533-position model. The record is from RNAcentral.
GACGGAGGGUGCAAGCGUUGUUCGGAUUGACUGGGCGUAAAGGGCGCGUAGGCGGCCUGAAAGGUCAGCUGUGAAAACUCGAGGCUCAACCUCGAGACGCCGAUGGAAACCAUCGAACUAGAGUCCGGAAGAGGAGAGUGGAAUUCCUGGUGUAGCGGUGAAAUGCGCAGAUAUCAGGAAGAACACCCGUGGCUAAGGCGGCUCUCUAGUACGGUACUGACGCUGAGACGCGAAAGCGUGGGGAGCGAACAGG